This 492-nucleotide ribosomal RNA is filed under the name uncultured bacterium. Its description in RNAcentral is "partial 16S ribosomal RNA". It matches the Rfam family "Bacterial small subunit ribosomal RNA", at positions 29 to 507 of the family's 1533-position model. The record is from RNAcentral.
AGUGAACGCUGGCGGUAGGCCUAACACAUGCAAGUCGAACGGCAGCACAGUAAGAGCUUGCUCUUACGGGUGGCGAGUGGCGGACGGGUGAGGAAUACAUCGGAAUCUACUUUUUCGUGGGGGAUAACGUAGGGAAACUUACGCUAAUACCGCAUACGACCUACGGGUGAAGGCAGGGGAUCUUCGGACCUUGCGCGAUUGAAUGAGCCGAUGUCGGAUUAGCUAGUUGGCGGGGUAAAGGCCCACCAAGGCGACGAUCCGUAGCUGGUCUGAGAGGAUGAUCAGCCACACUGGAACUGAGACACGGUCCAGACUCCUACGGGAGGCAGCAGUGGGGAAUAUUGGACAAUGGGCGCAAGCCUGAUCCAGCCAUACCGCGUGGGUGAAGAAGGCCUUCGGGUUGUAAAGCCCUUCUGUUGGGAAAGAAAAGCAGCAGGUUAAUACCCCGCUGUUCUGACGGUACCCAAAGAAUAAGCACCGGCUAACUUCGUG